This 442-nucleotide ribosomal RNA is filed under the name Vermamoeba vermiformis. RNAcentral describes it as "SSU rRNA". It matches the Rfam family "Eukaryotic small subunit ribosomal RNA", at positions 1228 to 1672 of the family's 1831-position model. The record is from RNAcentral. Lineage: Eukaryota; Tubulinea; Echinamoebida; Vermamoebidae.
ACACUGUGAGGAUUGACAGAUUGAAAGCUCUUUCUUGAUUCAGUGGGUGGUGGUGCAUGGCCGUUCUUAGUUGGUGGAGUGAUUUGUCUGGUUAAUUCCGUUAACGAACGAGACCUUAACCUGCUAAAUAGUCACGCGAACCGGUCCGCAAGGGCUCAAAGUUCGCGGCUCGACUUCUUAGAGGGACUAUUCGCACCCGCCAGCGAAUGGAAGUUUGAGGCAAUAACAGGUCUGUGAUGCCCUUAGAUGUUCUCGGCCGCACGCGCGUUACACUGACGGAGUCAACGAGCGUUUUUCCUUGCCCGACAGGGCUGGGUAACCUCCUGAAACUCCGUCGUGAUGGGGAUAGAUCAUUGCAAUUAUUGAUCUUGAACGAGGAAUUCCUAGUAGGCGCGAGUCAUCAACUCGCGCCGAUUACGUCCCUGCCCUUUGUACACACCGC